UUAAUGGAGAGUUUGAUCCUGGCUCAGGACGAACGCUGGCGGCGUGCCUAAUACAUGCAAGUCGAGCGGAUCUGUUCCUUCGGGGAUAGGUUAGCGGCGGACGGGUGAGUAACACGUAGGCAACCUGCCUGUAAGAUCGGGAUAACUACCGGAAACGGUAGCUAAGACCGGAUAGCUGGUUUCUUCGCAUG
RNAcentral lists this non-coding RNA (191 nucleotides) under Paenibacillus sp. UNCCL117. RNAcentral describes it as "Bacterial small subunit ribosomal RNA". It matches the Rfam family "Bacterial small subunit ribosomal RNA", at positions 1 to 192 of the family's 1533-position model. The record is from Rfam by way of RNAcentral. Lineage: Bacteria; Bacillati; Bacillota; Bacilli; Caryophanales; Paenibacillaceae.